GCAAAUAGUUAAUUCACAUCAUUACAUUUAAGUUAUUUGCGUCACUUAUUUAAUUAAUGAGCGAUGCAGAUAACUAUAGGUUAAAAAUUAAUUCUAAAUAUUCUACUGAUCUCGCCAUUUGCUGCUGCCUCCAAAUUCGAUAUACCCACAAAAAAAAUACUUUUGAUACCCAUUUGUUGCUGCCUUCAACAACUGAAUUCAACACAACAAUUCGACCAAACUAAAACCCCAGAAAAAUAGAAAGAUCGAAGCAAAAAAUCUCCCAUUUUCGAGCACAAAAUUGAACCAAAACCCCCAGCAAAAUUGAACACUAAAAAACCCAUAAAAAUCGAGCAAAAACCCCCCAAUUUGAGCAGAUGUUCGGUGUAUAAACCCCCAACAAAUUUGAACCCUGCAAACCCCAGAAAAAUCGAACAUUUUCCAGCCAAAAAACCCCCCAAUUCGAGCAAAAAUUCCAACCUCAACCCUAGCAAUUUCGAACCCUGAAAACCCUAGAAAAAUUGAACAUUUUUUAGCCAAAACCCCCCCAAUUCGAGCAGAAAUUUGAACCUAAAACCCCAACAAAUUUGAACCCUUGUUUUCUUUAUGAUUUUUGUUGAUUUAAUGGUUGAAAUUUGCCACAAUCCCAGAAAAGCAAAGCUUUACAGAUUUGAUAAAGAAGGAAAUCAAUGGGAAAAUUCUAAAGCAUAAGGUUUCUGGGAAAGUUCGAUUGGUUAUGCGGCAAUCUAAAACUCUUAAGAUCUGUGCUAAUCAUCUGAUUAUUGCGGGUAUGAUUGUUCAAGAGCAUGUUGGGAAUGAAAAAUCUUGUACGUGGGUUGCUAGUGAUUAUGCUGAUGGAGAGUUGAAGGAGGAGAUGUUCUGUAUCCGAUUUGCAUAGAUUGAGAGUGAGCAAAUUUGCUUUAAAUUAAAUGUUUAUUAUCUGUGAUGCUGGUCCAAUAUCCUUGUGUUUUUGCAAUUUGCCAAUUAAACGAAUUUUAGAGUUAUCUUUGAGUUUGUUGUCCAAUUUUUUGAUUAAUUUGGUUUCCAUUGCGAAUUUCUAAUUUAUUUUAAUCUUGAAUUUUUGCUUGAAGAACCCCAAACAUUGAAUUUGUUGCUCUUUUGCUAAAUUUGAUCUUAAAAUUUGCUUAAUUCUUCAAGUCUAUUUGUGAAUUUCAUUCUACCCAUACAAUUUGCUGAAUUUCAUUCAACCCAUACAAUUUUCUGAAUUUCCUCAUCCUUAAAGAAGGUUUUUCUCAUUAAUCUUUUAGUUUUUCUAAUUUCCCCUUUUAAUUUUGCUUAAUUUUUAUCUACUUUGUUAUAAUCCAUACGAUUUAACAAAUGUUUUGGAUUUUUUCAAUUUCUCAUUACUAUAUGUUUACUUAUUUCGUCAAUUUCGAUUCUGUUUUGCCUUAUUAAUCUGGUUUUUUCUUUCUAUUUAAUCAAUAAUUGAAGCUAUAAUUCCAUUAUAUGUUGUCUAUAUACAAGCAACACUUGAAGAACUCCCUGUAAAAAAGAAGAGGCCGAGAAAAAGACAUUGAUUAGGUUUUUGGUCUGUAUACUUGUAUAGAGAACUCAGGUAUAUGUAGGUAUAUGUAUUAUCAGAUUGCCAGUAUAUGCUCCAUGUAGAUACCCUUGAGAAAGUGAAAAACAUUCCAAUGCUGCGUUUGUAGCUGAUUGUAUGCCUGGUUUUCUAUCACAAGAAAGAGAAUCUACGUGAGUGUGGCUAUUACGUCAUGCGUUAUAUGUACGAAAUACUUGAACAUCAUCAUAACAGUGAGGAUCUUAUUAAGGAUUUUUCAAUAACUACACCGUAUACCGAGGAGGAGAUAAAUGAGAUUCGAGAUAUUUGAGCAGAGUAUUUUAUAUGUAAUGUUGAACUUUAGAUUUACACUUAGCAAAUGUUGGACUUUUGUUUUGGAUUAUAGGCUUGACAUGAAUGAAUUUGGUUAACUGGUGUUGGGAUGAUGAGUAUAAUGUCAAUGAUAUUGAGAUGUAAACUUAUUGGGCAGGUUGUUAAUAUAAUGUCGCCAUUCCCAAUUUUAUGGGUAGGCCAAAAUACAAAGGAAACUCUGCUGAAAUUUACAUUUGCAUUCA
Chenopodium quinoa (quinoa) is the source of this 2073-nucleotide long non-coding RNA. RefSeq lists it as uncharacterized. The record is from RefSeq and is a predicted model, not a curated record. Lineage: Eukaryota; Viridiplantae; Streptophyta; Magnoliopsida; Caryophyllales; Amaranthaceae. The transcript is spliced from 5 exons.